This 465-nucleotide ribosomal RNA is filed under the name uncultured bacterium. RNAcentral's name for it is "bacterial SSU rRNA". It matches the Rfam family "Bacterial small subunit ribosomal RNA", at positions 330 to 792 of the family's 1533-position model. The record is from RNAcentral.
GCCAGACUCCUACGGGAGGCAGCAGUGAGGAAUAUUGGUCAAUGGGCGCGAGCCUGAACCAGCCAAGUAGCGUGAAGGAUGACUGCCCUAUGGGUUGUAAACUUCUUUUAUAUGGGAAUAAAAUGUUCCACGUGUGGGAUUUUGUAUGUACCAUAUGAAUAAGGAUCGGCUAACUCCGUGCCAGCAGCCGCGGUAAUACGGAGGAUCCGAGCGUUAUCCGGAUUUAUUGGGUUUAAAGGGAGCGUAGGUGGAUUGUUAAGUCAGUUGUGAAAGUUUGCGGCUCAACCGUAAAAUUGCAGUUGAUACUGGCAUCCUUGAGUACAGUAGAGGUAGGCGGAAUUCGUGGUGUAGCGGUGAAAUGCUUAGAUAUCACGAAGAACUCCGAUUGCGAAGGCAGCCUGCUGGACUGUAACUGACGCUGAUGCUCGAAAGUGUGGGUAUCAAACAGGAUUAGAUACCCUAGUA